This 248-nucleotide long non-coding RNA is filed under the name Hordeum vulgare. RNAcentral's name for it is "long non-coding RNA (HVUL_LNC003302)". The record is from RNAcentral. Lineage: Eukaryota; Viridiplantae; Streptophyta; Magnoliopsida; Poales; Poaceae.
GGAGCUUGGGGAGGUGGUCAUGGCGUGGCAUGGAUGCGAGGAAUUGUGAGGAGGUGGGGAAUGUACAUGUAUGAUCUGAUCUGGUGCCAGAAAGAGCUAACUAGGACUUUGUGCAGAUUGAAGGGGGUAGAUUUGUUAGUUCAUUCACUCUGAUUUUGAUGUUUGUGGUUAGAAAUUUUGUAGGAAUGAAUAUAGAUUCUGUGUCUUUGUGCUGCUGGUUGUAGGCUCUUGAAUCUAAUGAUAAUAGC